AGCGAACGCUGGCGGCAGGCUUAACGCAUGCAAGUCGAACGGGCAUAGCAAUAUGUCAGUGGCAGACGGGUGAGUAACGCGUGGGAACGUACCUUUUGGUUCGGAACAACACAGGGAAACUUGUGCUAAUACCGGAUAAGCCCUUACGGGGAAAGAUUUAUCGCCGAAAGAUCGGCCCGCGUCUGAUUAGCUUGUUGGUAGGGUAAUGGCCUACCAAGGCGACGAUCAGUAGCUGGUCUGAGAGGAUGUUCAACCACAUUGGUACUGAGACACGGCCCGAACUCCUACGGGAGGCAGCAGUGGGGAAUAUUGGACAAUGGGCGAAAGGCUGAUGCAGCCAUGCCGCGUGAGUGAUGAAGGCCGUAGGGUUGUAAAGCUCUUUUGUGCGGGAAGAUAAUGACGGUACCGAAAGAAUAAGCCCCGGCUAACUUCGUG
RNAcentral lists this ribosomal RNA (435 nucleotides) under uncultured bacterium. Its description in RNAcentral is "partial 16S ribosomal RNA". It matches the Rfam family "Bacterial small subunit ribosomal RNA", at positions 29 to 507 of the family's 1533-position model. The record is from RNAcentral.